This is a long non-coding RNA of Brachypodium distachyon (stiff brome), 446 nucleotides long. RefSeq lists it as uncharacterized. The record is from RefSeq and is a predicted model, not a curated record. The transcript has 3 exons. Lineage: Eukaryota; Viridiplantae; Streptophyta; Magnoliopsida; Poales; Poaceae.
UCGUCCGUUCUUCUCUCUGCGAGCCCCCAUUGCUUUCGAGGUCUAGCCGCCGUAGCUAAGGACAGACAAUCUGCUCCAAGUAUGGAGCAUGGCUAUAGAUGUGAAGACAGGAAGGAUCUUACGGCAAAGCAAGCAAAGGACCAUUCUUGCUCCUGCCAUUCCUUCAUCUACGGAGAAGGAACCAAACCACCUGGUGACUUCGCCGAGCGCGUCGGAGGAGCUUUAGGGUGUCCACCUGGGUGUUCAAUCAGUUUUAAGUGAUUGAGCACUGUAGAAAUGCAAUUGAUAUACCCAAAGGCCCCCAAUCUAAUUUACAGUUAUGGUGCGAUGGAGCACUGUAGAAAUGCAAUUGAUGUUGUAGUUUUAUUUUGUUUUGGUGGGGAUAAUUGAAUUACAUGGUAGUGAAACUACCUUAUUUAAAUAAAAAAUCAGGCUACUUCUGGAUA